CAGGGGAGGCAUAGCAAUUGAUAGGUGGCAAUGCAAGUGACAGGUGGCAAUGCAAGUCAGGAGAGGCAUAGCAAUUGACAGGUGGCAAUACAAGUCAGGAGAGGCAUAACAAGUGACAGGUGGCGAUGCAAGUCAGGAGUGGCGAUGCAAGUGACAGGUGGCAAUGCAAGUCAGGAAAGGCAUAGCAAGUGACAGGUGGCGAUGCAAGUCAGGAGUGGCGAUGCAAGUGACAGGUGGCAAUGCAAGUCAGGAGAGGCAUAGCAAUUGACAGGUGGCAAUGCAAGUGACAGGUGGCAAUGCAAGUCAGGAGAGGCAUAGCAAUUGACAGGUGGCAAUGCAAGUGACAGGUGGCAAUGCAAGUCAGGGGAGGCAUAGCAAUUGAUAGGUGGCAAUGCAAGUGACAGGUAGCAAUGCAAGUCAGGAGAGGCAUAGCAAUUGACAGGUGGCAGUGCAAGUGACAGGUGGUGAUGCAAGUCAGAAGUGGCGAUGCAAGUGACAGGUGGCGAUGCAAGUGACAGUUGGCAAUGCAAAUGAUAGGUGGCAAUGCAAGUGACAGGAGGUGAUGCAAGUGACAGGUGGCAAUGCAAGUCAGGGGAGGCAAUGCAAUUGACAGGUGGCCAUGCAAGUGACAGGAGGCGAUGCAAGUGACAGGUGGUGAUACAAGUCAGGGGAGGCAAUGCAAUUGACAGGAGGCAAUGCAAGUGACAGGUGGUGAUGCAAGUCAGGGGACGCAAUGCAAUUGACAGGUAGCAAUGCAAGUGACAGGUAGCAAUGCAAUUGAUAGGUGGCAAUGCAAUUGACAGGUGGCAAUGCAAGUGACAGGUGGUGAUGCAAUUGACAGGUAGCAAUGCAAGUGACAGGUGGUGAUGCAAGUCAGGGGACGCAAUGCAAUUGACAGGUGGCGAUGCAAAUCAGGGGACGCAAUGCAAUUGACAGGUGGCAAUGCAAUUGACAGGUGGCAAUGCAAUUGACAGGUGGCAAUGCAAGUGACAGGUGGUGAUGCAAGUGACAGGUAGCAAUGCAAGUGACAGGUGGCGAUGCAAGUGACAGGUAGCAAUGCAAGUGACAGGUGGCGAUGCAAGUGACAGGAGGCGAUGCAAGUCAGGAGUGGCGAUCCAAGUGACAGGUGAAAAUGCAAGUCAGGGGAGGUGAUGAAAGUGACAGGAGGCGACACAAGUCAGGAGUGGCAAUGCAAGUGACAGGAGGGGACGCAAGUCAGGGGAGGCGAUGCAAGUGACAGGAGGCGACGCAAGUCGGAGGCGGUGCGAGAGUGGGGGUGUGGGGUGCAGGUUUGCGGGCUCUCCGGGUGUGUGCGUGUUGGUGCCUCGCCAGGGACUCGACGCCCCAGUUGCUGGGGGGUUUCCCUACUGAGCGGCGGCAGCACGCAGGGAAUGAAUGAAUGAAUGAA
Molecule: non-coding RNA, 1408 nt
Organism: Microcebus murinus (gray mouse lemur)
Lineage: Eukaryota; Metazoa; Chordata; Mammalia; Primates; Cheirogaleidae
Source: RefSeq, a predicted model, not a curated record